GAUGAGCGCUGGCGGCGUGCCUAAUACAUGCAAGUCGAGCGAACAGACGAGGAGCUUGCUCCUUUGACGUUAGCGGCGGACGGGUGAGUAACACGUGGAUAACCUACCUAUAAGACUGGGAUAACUUCGGGAAACCGGAGCUAAUACCGGAUAACAUCUUGAACCGCAUGGUUCAACAGUGAAAGACGGUCUUGCUGUCACUUAUAGAUGGAUCCGCGCCGCAUUAGCUAGUUGGUAAGGUAACGGCUUACCAAGGCAACGAUGCGUAGCCGACCUGAGAGGGUGAUCGGCCACACUGGAACUGAGACACGGUCCAGACUCCUACGGGAGGCAGCAGUAGGGAAUCUUCCGCAAUGGGCGAAAGCCUGACGGAGCAACGCCGCGUGAGUGAAGAAGGUCUUCGGAUCGUAAAACUCUGUUAUUAGGGAAGAACAAAUGUGUAAGUAACUAUGCACGUCUUGACGGUACCUAAUCAGAAAGCCACGGCUAACUACGUG
This 497-nucleotide ribosomal RNA is filed under the name uncultured bacterium. RNAcentral's name for it is "partial 16S ribosomal RNA". It matches the Rfam family "Bacterial small subunit ribosomal RNA", at positions 28 to 507 of the family's 1533-position model. The record is from RNAcentral.